AGUGAACGCUGGCGGUAGGCCUAACACAUGCAAGUCGAACGGCAGCACAGUAAGAGCUUGCUCUUACGGGUGGCGAGUGGCGGACGGGUGAGGAAUACAUCGGAAUCUACUUUGUCGUGGGGGAUAACGUAGGGAAACUUACGCUAAUACCGCAUACGACCUACGGGUGAAAGCAGGGGAUCUUCGGACCUUGCGCGAUUGAAUGAGCCGAUGUCGGAUUAGCUAGUUGGCGGGGUAAAGGCCCACCAAGGCGACGAUCCGUAGCUGGUCUGAGAGGAUGAUCAGCCACACUGGAACUGAGACACGGUCCAGACUCCUACGGGAGGCAGCAGUGGGGAAUAUUGGACAAUGGGCGCAAGCCUGAUCCAGCCAUACCGCGUGGGUGAAGAAGGCCUUCGGGUUGUAAAACCCUUUUGUUGGGAAAGAAAAGCAGCAGGUUAAUACCCCGCUGUUCUGACGGUACCCAAAGAAUAAGCACCGGCUAACUUCGUG
This 492-nucleotide ribosomal RNA is filed under the name uncultured bacterium. RNAcentral's name for it is "partial 16S ribosomal RNA". It matches the Rfam family "Bacterial small subunit ribosomal RNA", at positions 29 to 507 of the family's 1533-position model. The record is from RNAcentral.